CCCAACCUCACCACCUGCCUCUACCACACCGACCACGCCCUCUUCUCCCUCACCUGGUCCCGCUCCUUCCUCGGCCGCUCCCUCCACCUCAACCUCCUCCACCACUCCUUCGACUCGCCCCUCCCUCCGUCGCUCUCCUCCCCUUACUUCCACCUCCACAUCAAGCCCUUUCUCUUCUGGAAGAAGCACGGCUCCAAGAAGCUCUCCCCCAACAUUCUCCUCUUCUGGGACCUCUCCAAAGCCCGGUUCAGCUCCGGACCUGAACCCCAAUCCGGGUUCUACAUCGCCGUCGUCGUCGACAACG
This 304-nucleotide long non-coding RNA is filed under the name Malus domestica (apple). RNAcentral's name for it is "long non-coding RNA (MDOM_LNC014454)". The record is from RNAcentral. Lineage: Eukaryota; Viridiplantae; Streptophyta; Magnoliopsida; Rosales; Rosaceae.